CCUACGGGUGGCAGCAGUGAGGAAUAUUGGGCAAUGGAGGCAACUCUGACCCAGCCAUGCCGCGUGCGUGAAGAAGGCUUUCGGAUUGUAAAGCUCUUUCUGAUGUGACGAUGAUGACGGUAGCAUCUAAAGAAGCUCCGGCCAACUUCGUGCCAGCAGCCGCGGUAAUACGAAGGGGGCGAGCGUUGUUCGGAAUUACUGGGCGUAAAGGGAGUGUAGGCGGUUUAGUAAGAUAGUGGUGAAAUCCCAGGGCUUAACUUUGGAAUUGCAAUUAUAACUAUUAGACUAGAAUUACAGAGAGGAUAGUGGAAUACCCGGUGUAGAGGUGAAAUGCGUAGAUAUUGGGUAGAACACCAGUGGCGAAGGCGACUAUCUGGAUGUACAUUGACGCUGAGGCUCGAAAGCGUGGGGAUCAAACAGGAUUAGAUACCCGAGUAGUC
This 440-nucleotide ribosomal RNA is filed under the name uncultured bacterium. Its description in RNAcentral is "partial 16S ribosomal RNA". It matches the Rfam family "Bacterial small subunit ribosomal RNA", at positions 338 to 795 of the family's 1533-position model. The record is from RNAcentral.